RNAcentral lists this ribosomal RNA (427 nucleotides) under uncultured bacterium. Its description in RNAcentral is "partial 16S ribosomal RNA". It matches the Rfam family "Bacterial small subunit ribosomal RNA", at positions 355 to 774 of the family's 1533-position model. The record is from RNAcentral.
UGGGGAAUAUUGGACAAUGGGCGAAAGCCUGAUCCAGCCAUGCCGCGUGUGUGAAGAAGGUCUUCGGAUUGUAAAGCACUUUAAGUUGGGAGGAAGGGCAUUAACCUAAUACGUUAGUGUUUUGACGUUACCGACAGAAUAAGCACCGGCUAACUCUGUGCCAGCAGCCGCGGUAAUACAGAGGGUGCAAGCGUUAAUCGGAAUUACUGGGCGUAAAGCGCGCGUGGGUGGUUUGUUAAGUUGGAUUUGAAAUCCCCGGGCUCAACCUGGGAACUGCAUUCAAAACUGACUGACUAGAGUAUGGUAGAGGGUGGUGGAAUUUCCUGUGUAGCGGUGAAAUGCGUAGAUAUAGGAAGGAACACCAGUGGCGAAGGCGACCACCUGGACUAAUACUGACACUGAGGUGCGAAAGCGUGGGGAGCAAACA